AACGAACGCUGGCGGCAGGCCUAACACAUGCAAGUCGAGCGAGGACUUCGGUUCUAGCGGCGGACGGGUGAGUAACGCGUGGGAAUGUGCCCUUCUCUACGGAAUAGCCCUGGGAAACUGGGAGUAAUACCGUAUACGCCCUAUUGGGGAAAGACUUAUCGGAGAAGGAUCAGCCCGCGUUGGAUUAGGUAGUUGGUGGGGUAAUGGCCUACCAAGCCGACGAUCCAUAGCUGGUUUGAGAGGAUGAUCAGCCACACUGGGACUGAGACACGGCCCAGACUCCUACGGGAGGCAGCAGUGGGGAAUCUUAGACAAUGGGGGCAACCCUGAUCUAGCCAUGCCGCGUGAGUGAUGAAGGCCUUAGGGUUGUAAAGCUCUUUCAGCUGGGAAGAUAAUGACGGUACCAGCAGAAGAAGCCCCGGCUAACUCCGUG
Molecule: ribosomal RNA, 433 nt
Filed under: uncultured bacterium
Lineage: Bacteria
Description: partial 16S ribosomal RNA
Rfam family: Bacterial small subunit ribosomal RNA
Source: RNAcentral